Molecule: ribosomal RNA, 531 nt
Filed under: Patiria pectinifera
Lineage: Eukaryota; Metazoa; Echinodermata; Asteroidea; Valvatida; Asterinidae
Description: partial 16S ribosomal RNA
Rfam family: Bacterial large subunit ribosomal RNA
Source: RNAcentral
UGCCUGCCCAGUGACUUAGUUAAACGGCCGCGGUAUCUUGACCGUGCAAAGGUAGCAUAAUCAUUUGCCUCUUAAAUGGGGGCUGGUAUGAAUGGCAAGACGGGAAUCAAGCUGUCUCUCCCUUAUAUCUUGAAGUUAAUAUUUCUGUGAAGAAGCAGAAAUGAGAUCGCAGGACGAGAAGACCCUAUCGAGCUUUAGUAGAAAUAAGAUAUAAGCUUGUUAAUAGUGUUUGUGCUGCUAAUUCAAUUGUUAAAAACAGUUCCUAUAGUUUUACUGCUAAAAACAUUAGUGUUGUAUAUAUAAUACUUAGGUUGGGGCAACCGCGGAGAAUAAUUAUCCUCCGUUAAUUUUAUUGAAAAAAUAAUUAUUUUUCAAUAUAAGAUUUAUUUAAAGAGUGAUCCACUGAAAUGGUGAGCAAAAGAAUAAGUUACCGUAGGGAUAACAGCGUAAUUUUUUUGGAGAGUUCAUAUUGAUAAAAAAGUUUGCGACCUCGAUGUUGGAUCGGGAUUUCCUGGGGAUGCAGCAGUUCCC